AACGAACGCUGGCGGCAGGCCUAACACAUGCAAGUCGAACGCUCCAGCAAUGGGGAGUGGCGCACGGGUGAGUAACGCGUAGGAAUCUACCCGAUAGUCUGGGAUAACAGCGGGAAACUGCUGCUAAUACCGGAUAUUCCCUGAGGGGGAAAGAAUUUCGCUAUCGGAUGAGCCUGCGUGACAUUAGGUAGUUGGUGGGGUAAUGGCCUACCAAGCCUACGAUGUCUAGCUGGUCUGAGAGGAUGAUCAGCCACACUGGGACUGAGACACGGCCCAGACUCCUACGUGAGGCAGCAGUGGGGAAUAUUGAGCAAUGGGCGCAAGCCUGACCCAGCCAUGCCGCGUGGGUGAUGACGGCCUUAGGAUUGUAAAGCUCUUUCAGUGGUGACGAUGAUGACAGUAGCCACAUAAGAAGCCCCGGCUAACUUCGUGCCAGCAGCCGCGGUAA
This 448-nucleotide ribosomal RNA is filed under the name uncultured bacterium. Its description in RNAcentral is "partial 16S ribosomal RNA". It matches the Rfam family "Bacterial small subunit ribosomal RNA", at positions 29 to 523 of the family's 1533-position model. The record is from RNAcentral.